GUAUGUCAUUGAAAGUGCCCGACAGAGACCUCCUAAAAGGAAAUACCUAUCAAGUGGAAGAAAAUCUGUAUUUCAAAAACUUUAUGACUUGUAUAUUGAAGAAUGUGAAAAAGAACCUGAAGUUAAGGUAAGUAUACAUUUUUAUUAUGUUGUAGCUUUUGAAAUGUAGAAGAGAGGAAUUUGGAGGAGUUACAUUUGGAGUAUUAUUUUUGUGUGUGUGAGUGAACUAACAUCUUUUUUAACCUGACCCUAGUCAAUUCUGUAGCUGACUCAGAGCUCUGGCUAAUCUGGCACCAGGCAGAGAUCACCUGCUGAGGUAGGAGUGAAGGAACAGUUAUAUUGAGUAUCAGACUGUCUCACUAGGAAGUCAUAAGCAAAGCCACAGUAUAUAUUAUCUUUUGCUUCUUCUUCCCCCGAGAAGUGAUUUAUGAGUUUAUAGCACUUCCUCCUGAGAAGUUAUUUACAGAUUUAUAGCAGUAACCUGUUUUCUCAUGAUGAUUUAAACUGGAAAGCCAGAGCUAUUACAGAGCAUGUAUGAAAUUCAAGUACAGUAAUAAAAAGUGAGCUUGGUCAUAAACCGAGUUCAUGGCCAAUUUAACUUAAUUCAUUUUUAUUUGGCAUAAAGAUAUGGGUAGUAGACAUGUAACAGAAGUCGAUUUAUUGAUGUCUUGGAGCCCUCGGGUUGGAAGGGUCUAAACGUCUCUAUGAGCUUUUGUUGUCUGUCUUUAAAAAUGAAUACAGUUUUACUAUUUAGGCCAAAAACAGUGGAAUUCCAGUAGUGUCUAACUUUAAAAUCUU
RNAcentral lists this long non-coding RNA (798 nucleotides) under Homo sapiens (human). RNAcentral describes it as "non-protein coding lnc-ALG5-4:6". Lineage: Eukaryota; Metazoa; Chordata; Mammalia; Primates; Hominidae. The record is from RNAcentral.